AGUGAACGCUGGCGGUAGGCCUAACACAUGCAAGUCGAACGGCAGCACAGUAAGAGCUUGCUCUUACGGGUGGCGAGUGGCGGACGGGUGAGGAAUACAUCGGAAUCUUCUUUUUCGUGGGGGAUCACGUAGGGAAACUUACGCUAAUACCGCAUACGACAUACGGGUGAAAGCAGGGGAUCUUCGCACCUUGCGCGAUUGAAUGAGCCGAUGUCGGAUUAGCUAGUUGGCGGGGUAAAGGCCCACCAAGGCGACGAUCCGUAGCUGGUCUGAGAGGAUGGUCGGCCACACUGGAACUGAGACACGGUCCAGACUCCUACGGGAGGCAGCAGUGGGGAAUAUUGGACAAUGGGCGCAAGCCUGAUCCAGCCAUACCGCGUGAGUGAAGAAGGCCUUCGGGUUGUAAAGCCCUUUUGUUGGGAAAGAAAAGCAGCAGGUUAAUACCCCGCUGUUCUGACGGUACCCAAAGAAUAAGCACCGGCUAACUACGUG
This 492-nucleotide ribosomal RNA is filed under the name uncultured bacterium. Its description in RNAcentral is "partial 16S ribosomal RNA". It matches the Rfam family "Bacterial small subunit ribosomal RNA", at positions 29 to 507 of the family's 1533-position model. The record is from RNAcentral.